UAACCUGGCCUGGUUUUGCUUUUAAAUAAACUGAGGAUGUUGGAGGGAGGACUCAUUCUUAUUGGGAUGUGAGUGGAUGUGCUAGAAGGCAGGAAAACAAACACUGGACUGGAGACUCUCUGUGCCCCUGACAAGGAAACUGGACCAGUUUUGGGGAAGUUCCAGCUCCCAGGAUGUGAUGUGGAGACCCAGCCUCGAACGAAGUCAGGCCUGAAAAGGCUAACAACCCUGACCGCGGUGGCUUUGGGCCUUGGAUUCCUGGCCAGAGUUGUGUCUUCAGCCAGUAGUUUUACCCGGAGAAAGAACAAAUAAAUCUUGUGUAACCCA
Long non-coding RNA from Maylandia zebra (zebra mbuna), 327 nucleotides. RefSeq lists it as uncharacterized. Lineage: Eukaryota; Metazoa; Chordata; Actinopteri; Cichliformes; Cichlidae. The record is from RefSeq and is a predicted model, not a curated record.